RNAcentral lists this ribosomal RNA (743 nucleotides) under Staphylococcus epidermidis. Its description in RNAcentral is "bacterial LSU rRNA". It matches the Rfam family "Bacterial large subunit ribosomal RNA", at positions 1 to 779 of the family's 2925-position model. The record is from RNAcentral. Lineage: Bacteria; Bacillati; Bacillota; Bacilli; Caryophanales; Staphylococcaceae.
GGGUUGUGAGGUUAAGCGACUAAGCGUACACGGUGGAUGCCCUGGCAGUCAGAGGCGAUGAAGGACGUGCUAAUCUGCGAAAAGCGCCGGCGAGGUGAUAUGAACCUUUGACCCGGCGAUGUCCGAAUGGGGAAACCCAGUGCAAUUCGUUGCACUAUCGUUAACUGAAUACAUAGGUUAACGAGGCGAACCGGGGGAACUGAAACAUCUAAGUACCCCGAGGAAAAGAAAUCAACCGAGAUUCCCCCAGUAGCGGCGAGCGAACGGGGAGCAGCCCGGAGUCUGAAUCAGCUUGUGUGUUAGUGGAACGGUCUGGAAAGUCCGACGGUACAGGGUGCUAGUCCCGUCCCCGAAAGCACACAUGCUGUGAACUCGAAGAGUAGGGCGGGACACGUGGUAUCCUGUCUGAAUAUGGGGGGACGAUCCUCCAAUGCUAAAUGUUCCUGACUGACCGAUAGUGAACCAGUACCGUGAGGGAAAGGCGAAAAGAACCCCGGCGAGGGGAGUGAAAAAGAACCUGAAACCGUGUACGUACAAGCAGUGGGAGCCUCUUUAUGGGGUGACUGCGUACCUUUUGUAUAAUGGGUCAGCGACUUAUAUUCUGUAGCCAGGUUAACCGUAUAGGGGAGCCGAAGGGAAACCGAGUCUUAACUGGGCGUUAAGUUGCAGGGUAUAGACCCGAAACCCGGUGAUCUAGCCAUGGGCAGGUUGAAGGUUGGGUAACACUAACUGGAGGACCGAAC